This 594-nucleotide ribosomal RNA is filed under the name Geopora cooperi. RNAcentral describes it as "partial large subunit ribosomal RNA". It matches the Rfam family "Eukaryotic large subunit ribosomal RNA", at positions 84 to 694 of the family's 3401-position model. The record is from RNAcentral. Lineage: Eukaryota; Fungi; Ascomycota; Pezizomycetes; Pezizales; Pyronemataceae.
UAACUGCGAGUGAAGCGGCAAAAGCUCAAAUUUGAAAUCGGUGUUCAUGAAGUACAUCGAGUUGUAAUUUGGAGGGAUGACUUCGGGGCGAACCACAUCGUAAGUUUCUUGGAACAGGACAUCAUAGAGGGUGAGAAUCCCGUGUCUUGAUGUAGGGUCAAAUGUGAAGCGUCUCCGACGAGUCGAGUUGUUUGGGAAUGCAGCUCAAAAUGGGUGGUAAAUUUCAUCUAAAGCUAAAUAUUGGCGAGAGACCGAUAGCGCACAAGUAGAGUGAUCGAAAGAUGAAAAGCACUUUGAAAAGAGAGUUAAAAAGUACGUGAAAUUGUUGAAAGGGAAGCGCUUGCGACCAGACUCGAUCUUUGGAGAUCAGCCGGGCUUCGGUUCGGUGCCCUCUCCAUCGAUCGGGCCAGCAUAGGUUCUGACGGUGGGAUAAAAGGAGGAGGAAUGUGGCUCCCCUCGGGGAGUGUUAUAGCCACCUUCACAAUGCCACCAGUUGGGACCGAGGACCGCGCUUCGGCUAGGAUGCUGGUGUAAUGGUCUUAAGCGACCCGUCUUGAAACACGGACCAAGGAGUCUAACAUCUAUGCGAGUGUU